GACGAACGCUGGCGGCGCGCUUAACACAUGCAAGUCGAACGGAAAGGCCUGCUUUCCCUUGUGGAUUGCGGGUACUCGAGUGGCGAACGGGUGAGUAACACGUGAGUGAUCUGCCCCCAACUUGGGUAUAAGCCUGGGAAACUGGGUCUAAUUCCCGAUAGGACUGCAGGGUGGUGCCUGUGGUGGAAAACGAUUUUCUAGUGGUUGGGGAUGAGCUCGCGGCCUAUCAGCUUGUUGGUGGGGUAAUGGCCUACCAAGGCGGCGACGGGUAGCCGGCCUGAGAGGGUGGACGGGCACAUUGGGACUGAGAUACGGCCCAGACGCCUACGGGAGGCAGCAGUGGGGAAUAAUGCACGAUGGGCGGAAGCCUGAUGCAGCGACGCCGCGUGGGGGAUGACGGCCUUCGGGUUGUAAACUCCUUUCGACCGCGAGGAAGCCACCUGGAUGGAAGGGUGGUGACGGUAGUGGUAGAAGAAGCACCGGCUAACUACGUG
This 494-nucleotide ribosomal RNA is filed under the name uncultured bacterium. RNAcentral describes it as "partial 16S ribosomal RNA". It matches the Rfam family "Bacterial small subunit ribosomal RNA", at positions 28 to 507 of the family's 1533-position model. The record is from RNAcentral.